UUGUCUUCUAAAUUUACUUAAGUUAACAAUUAUAUGAUUAGUAAUUUUCUAAAUGAAAAUUUUGUUUGUUUGAGAUUUGGCAUUGGUUUUCAAACAGAUAUAUCUUUAGACGAAAAUGCCAGUAUCAUGCAACCCAAGCAUCCCUGCAGAGCAAAAUAUAAUGCACUAUUACAAAUUUAUCCAUUUCAUAGCAUCGUGAUGUGAUGUAGUAGAUUCUAAUGAUGUCUGUCACCUGAUUAGCAGUCAUUCAGUUGUUGUUGUAUGUUUGUAUUUCUUAUUAAUGUACAUAUACUUGGUCAUAUGUUUUUGUUUCUUUUUAAUGUACAUUUACUUGGUCAUAUUAUACAUAAUUUGGUUAUCUUGAUUUAGUAAUUUUAUGGUGCUUGGGCUUUUCCCCUGAAGCAUGGGUACUUCUAAAAUGGCGAAGUACCCGUUACGCGUAUGGCACUCGUACCGUACCCAUUUUUACUUGAUUAAUCCAGGGUGGUUGAUAGUACAGCAAAAAUGUACAAGCGAUGGAAAAAUGGCAUAAAUUAUUUUGAUAUUUUGUUGUAUUUCAAUUCUCUUUCUUGCUUAUGAUGGAAAUAGUGGAAGCGGUGGAUAAGAAAUGUAAAUCUAUGAAGCAUGGUGAUGAUAGAAGUGUGGUUAAACACAUAGUUAAAAUACAAAUUACAAACAAUAUAUACUAUUUUUUUGUUUAUCAUAAUUAAUGUUUUUUUUUUCUUUUUCUCACCAUGUUUUUACAACAACAAUGGUUGUAAUUUACUCAAAAUUUUUAAUUUUUUAUAUUAACGUACCCAUAUCUUCAUUUUUCUAAAUUUGCCAUAUUUCGUACAGUACUUGUACCUGUACCUAUGCUUCAUAAGGCUUUUCUCAUUUCCUCCUCACUCUAUUGGCUUGUUUUGGUACUCUGUAUGAUUUUCUGGUGUGUACAUUUCUUAGAACCACAUCACACACAAGUGUAGUGUUUAUCAACAUAUG
RNAcentral lists this long non-coding RNA (981 nucleotides) under Medicago truncatula (barrel medic). RNAcentral's name for it is "long non-coding RNA (MTRU_LNC002382)". Lineage: Eukaryota; Viridiplantae; Streptophyta; Magnoliopsida; Fabales; Fabaceae. The record is from RNAcentral.